GACGAACGCUGGCGGCGUGCUUAUCACAUGCAAGUCGAACGGAAAGGCCCUGCUUUUGUGGGGUGCUCGAGUGGCGAACGGGUGAGUAACACGUGAGUAACCUGCCCUUGACUUUGGGAUAACUUCAGGAAACUGGGGCUAAUACCGGAUAGGAGCUCCUGCUGCAUGGUGGGGGUUGGAAAGUUUCGGCGGUUGGGGAUGGACUCGCGGCUUAUCAGCUUGUUGGUGGGGUAGUGGCUUACCAAGGGUUUGACGGGUAGCCGGCCUGAGAGGGUGACCGGCCACAUUGGGACUGAGAUACGGCCCAGACUCCUACGGGAGGCAGCAGUGGGGAAUAUUGCACAAUGGGCGGAAGCCUGAUGCAGCAACGCCGCGUGCGGGAUGACGGCCUUCGGGUUGUAAACCGCUUUCGACUGUGACGAAGCGUGAGUGACGGUAAUGGGUAAAGAAGCAUCGGCUAACUACGUG
RNAcentral lists this ribosomal RNA (468 nucleotides) under uncultured bacterium. RNAcentral's name for it is "partial 16S ribosomal RNA". It matches the Rfam family "Bacterial small subunit ribosomal RNA", at positions 28 to 507 of the family's 1533-position model. The record is from RNAcentral.